AAUGAACGUUGGCGGCGUGGAUUAGGCAUGCAAGUCGAGCGCUCAUAGCAAUAUGGGAGCGGCGAACGGCGUAGUAAUGCAUCGGAACGUACUCUUCGGUCGGGGAUAGCCACGGGAAACUGUGGGUAAUACCCGAUGAUAUCUGCGGAUCAAAGGUGAGAUUCCGCCGGAGGAGCGGCUGAUGUGAUAUUAGCUUGAUGGUGGGGUAAUGGCCUACCAUGGCGAUGAUGUCUAGGGGGUGUGAGAGCAUGGCCCCCACGACCGGAACUGAGACACUGUCCGGACACCUACGGGUGGCUGCAGUCGAGAAUCUUCCGCAAUGGACGAAAGUCUGACGGAGCGACGCCGCGUGCGGGAUGAAGGCCCUUGGGUUGUAAACCGCUGUCAGAGGGGAUGAAAUCUCCGGGGGUACUCCCCCGGAGUUGACAGAGCCUCAAAGGAAGCACGGGCUAAGUACGUGCCAGCAGCCGCGGUAAAGUCUAG
RNAcentral lists this ribosomal RNA (483 nucleotides) under uncultured bacterium. Its description in RNAcentral is "bacterial SSU rRNA". It matches the Rfam family "Bacterial small subunit ribosomal RNA", at positions 29 to 530 of the family's 1533-position model. The record is from RNAcentral.